AAAAUGCGAUAAGUAAUGUGAAUUGCAGAAUUCAGUGAAUCAUCGAAUCUUUGAACGCACAUUGCGCCCGCCAGUAUUCUGGCGGGCAUGCCUGUUCGAGCGUCAUUACAACCCUCAGGCCCCCGGGCCUGGCGUUGGGGAUCGGCGGAAGCCCCCUGCGGGCACAACGCCGUCCCCCAAAUACAGUGGCGGUCCCGCCGCAGCUUCCAUUGCGUAGUAGCUAACACCUCGCAACUGGAGAGCGGCGCGGCCACGCCGUAAAACACCCAACUUCUGAAUGUUGACCUCGAAUCAGGUAGGAAUACCCGCUGAACUUAAGC
Molecule: unclassified non-coding RNA, 320 nt
Filed under: plant metagenome
Description: partial contains 5.8S ribosomal RNA, internal transcribed spacer 2, and large subunit ribosomal RNA
Rfam family: 5.8S ribosomal RNA (bases 1-105)
Source: RNAcentral